AACCGAACGAUAGCUCUCACGAUGUACAACGGCGAAUGAUUAAAAAAAGGCUACUUCGGUGAUGAAAAUGUUGUGUGUAAUGUGUACAAUAAACAGCCUAAAAAUUAUAAAUGGUGGUAGAAUCGACUUCGCACGCCUGAAAGCCGUUUAGGCUGUUGUGCAACCGUGUUGAGCCGGCGAUAGUUAGAAAGAGGGAAGAAAGAAUGCCCGCAAUCAAACUAAACGAUGUUUGAUCAUGGAAAACAAGUUAAAAAGCAUACAAAGCUCGCUCGCCGUUGGACGCUUGGACAAUUACUUUUACAAUCAUUCGGUGAUCAGUUUGCGAAACGUCUUGCCGCACGCCUGGUACAGGCCCUUCUUGUCCGCGUCGGUAUCGAUCGUGGACUGAUCGUUCGGCAGCGUCAGCAUCAUCACCUUCAUCUGCGGGUAGUUGUGGUACGGCACAGUUCCGGUCGCCAUCUCGAUCGCGGUAAUGCCGAACGACUAGAAGCCGUAUCCGUGGUCCCGCUCCAUCUCCUCCGGCGCCAUCCAGCACGACGUGCCGAUAAACGUGUGGUACACCUUCUGCCGCGACAUGUCUCCAUCGGUGGCGAGCCACGCGCUCAUCCGCUAUAUUUAAGGAGCCGUCGUCGCCGGGCAGUAUGAUGGCCACCUUGAUGUCCACGUAAUGAGCAAUGCGAAAUGUGCACUCAAUUGGCAAGCGCACAGCAAGAUCCAGCAAACGUUACCGACAGUCUUUGUCGCCGUGAAAAUGCUUCUAAUGCACGGGUAUUUUAUAUUGCAUCGGUACGAUUAUCGUGUUCAAAGGCUUUUUCGAGAAAUGCCAAUACAUAAAUCGGUUAGUUCGUUUAUAUCGGUUUCUCAAACCCCUGCAAGCAAUGGUCAAUCAUUUCAGUCUUAAACUUUUGACGAACGAAUGCCUGGUCGCUAGCUGCAGCUUCCCAUCGAUGUAGGCACACGAUCUUCGAGAUUUUACUUCACCUGAUCUAGCCAUCGCACUCGCUGUGCUUCCUCGCUUCUAGUACCGAACUGAGAGCCGCUCGAACACCUAGCUGCUGGGGCACGAGGCUGCCUUCUUCACAACAUGCUCCAGCCAUCGCAAACAGCCAUGUCCGGUGCGCCAUAUGGCUUCAGUAAGCUCGUGGAUAAUCAUUCGCAUCCACACCCCAUGCUCGAAUUCACCGCCAAAGAUGAUCCGGAGGAUGCGUCGGCCAUCGUGUUUCGCCGCUGUCCUUUGCAUGCUGUAAAAAAACAUACCUAUUCAUCGUCGGCCAAUGGUGCAGCACGAGCGCAACGUGAUACAUCGUGACAUCAUCCGGAAAACUUGCAGCUGGGGCACGGUGGUGAUCUGAAGAUAGCUGAUUUCGGUUGGUCCGUGUACGAGCCGACCUUGUUCCGGUACGACGCUGUGCGUUUCGCUCGACUAUUUAUCGCCCUAGAUGGUACAUGGUCAGCCGCACACAAAAACUGUCGAUCUCUGGAAUUUGGGCGUGCUGGCGUAAGGCCCCGUUUUUGGCGACCACGUAUGAAGAA
This is an RNA transcript of Anopheles merus, 1533 nucleotides long. RefSeq lists it as uncharacterized. The record is from RefSeq and is a predicted model, not a curated record. The transcript has 5 exons. Lineage: Eukaryota; Metazoa; Arthropoda; Insecta; Diptera; Culicidae.